CUAGUUUAGUAUAAGAUAAGUAUACAAAAUUGUAAAUUUUGGGGUAAAAGUUUUAACUAGA
RNAcentral lists this transfer RNA (61 nucleotides) under Rhabdosynochus viridisi. RNAcentral describes it as "tRNA-Tyr". The record is from RNAcentral. Lineage: Eukaryota; Metazoa; Platyhelminthes; Monogenea; Dactylogyridea; Diplectanidae.